RNAcentral lists this ribosomal RNA (427 nucleotides) under uncultured bacterium. RNAcentral's name for it is "bacterial SSU rRNA". It matches the Rfam family "Bacterial small subunit ribosomal RNA", at positions 355 to 774 of the family's 1533-position model. The record is from RNAcentral.
UGGGGAAUAUUGGACAAUGGGCGCAAGCCUGAUCCAGCAAUGCCGCGUGUGUGAAGAAGGCCUUCGGGUUGUAAAGCACUUUUAUCAGGAGCGAAACGCUGUCGGCUAAUACCCGGCGGAACUGACGGUACCUGAGGAAUAAGCACCGGCUAACUUCGUGCCAGCAGCCGCGGUAAUACGAAGGGUGCAAGCGUUAAUCGGAAUUACUGGGCGUAAAGCGUGCGUAGGCGGUGACUUAAGUCUGCUGUGAAAUCCCCGGGCUCAACCUGGGAAUGGCAGUGGAUACUGGGUCGCUAGAGUGUGAUAGAGGAUGGUGGAAUUCCCGGUGUAGCGGUGAAAUGCGUAGAGAUCGGGAGGAACAUCAGUGGCGAAGGCGGCCAUCUGGAUCAACACUGACGCUGAGGCACGAAAGCGUGGGGAGCAAACA